CCUUUAUAUUCAGUGCCCUCAUACUAUACACAUAUUAUCUUCUGUUACAGUUACCAGUCUCUAUAACUUGACCUCUACAGAGAGUACCACCGUCAUUUCACUUAACGCAGGAUUUUUGGAAUCUGCAACAGCAGAGGUAACGAGGCAGUGAGAAUAAGGAUGUAAAGCUGGAGGAAACUGAAAAACCCAUUUGUUAUAGAUGAAUUCACCUCCUGGAGGGGCAUCGCCAAACACCGCCA
Molecule: long non-coding RNA, 239 nt
Filed under: Fukomys damarensis (Damara mole-rat)
Lineage: Eukaryota; Metazoa; Chordata; Mammalia; Rodentia; Bathyergidae
Description: lncRNA (ENSFDAG00000022226.1)
Source: RNAcentral